CGUACCGUAAACCGACACAGGUAGUCGAGGAGAGUAUCCUAAGGCGCUCGAGUGAUCCGUGGCUAAGGAACUAGGCAAAAUGGUCUCGUAACUUCGGGAGAAGAGACUCCCCUCGUGAGAGGGGACGCAGUGAAGAGGCCCAGGCGACUGUUUAACAAAAACACAGGACUCUGCAAAAUCGUAAGAUGAAGUAUAGGGUCUGACACCUGCCCGGUGCUGGAAGGUUAAGGAAGGGGGUUAGUGCGUAAGUGCGAAGCUCUUAACUGAAGCCCCAGUAAACGGCGGCCGUAACUAUAACGGUCCUAAGGUAGCGAAAUUCCUUGUCGGGUAAGUUCCGACCUGCACGAAUGGUGUAACGAUCUGGGCGCUGUCUCAGCCACGAGCUCGGUGAAAUUGAAGUAUCGGUGAAGAUGCCGAUUACCCGCAACGGGACGGAAAGACCCCGUGAACCUUUACUACAACUUCACAUUGAGCUUGAAUACAGGAUGUGUAGGAUAGGUGGGAGGCUACGAAGCUGUGACGCUAGUCAUGGUGGAGCCAACGUUGAAAUACCACCCUUCCUGUAUUUAGGUUCUAAUCCCUAAAAGGGAAACAGUGUGUGGUGGGUAGUUUGACUGGGGUGGUCGCCUCCAAAAAAGUAACGGAGGCUCGCAAAGGUACACUCAGCAUGGUCGGUAAUCAUGCGAAGAGCGUAUUAGUAUAAGUGUGCUUGACUGAGAGACCGACGGGUCGAUCAGGAACGAAAGUUGGCUAAAGUGAUCCGGUGUUUCCGCAUGGAAGGGACAUCGCUCAAAGGAUAAAAGGUACUCCGGGGAUAACAGGCUGAUCCUACCCAAGAGCUCAUAUCGACGGUAGGGUUUGGCACCUCGAUGUCGGCUCGUCACAUCCUGGGGCUGGAGAAGGUCCCAAGGGUUGGGCUGUUCGCCCAUUAAAGUGGCACGCGAGCUGGGUUCAGAACGUCGCAAGACAGUUCGGUCCCUAUCUGUUGUGGGCGCAGGAAUAUUGAAGGGAGCUGAUUCUAGUACGAGAGGACCGAAUUGGACGUACCGCUAGUGUACCGGUUGUGGCGCCAGCUGCACCGCCGGGUAGCUAUGUACGGCAAGGAUAAGCGCUGAAAGCAUCUAAGCGCGAAGCCAUCCCUAAGAUGAGUAUUCCAGCACGUAAGUGUAAAGGACCCCAGAAGACUACUGGGUUGAUAGGUUAUAGGUGGAAGUGCAGUAAUGUGCGUAGCCGAGUAAUACUAAUUGUCCGACAGCUUCCUUUU
RNAcentral lists this ribosomal RNA (1264 nucleotides) under wastewater metagenome. Its description in RNAcentral is "bacterial LSU rRNA". It matches the Rfam family "Bacterial large subunit ribosomal RNA", at positions 1643 to 2925 of the family's 2925-position model. The record is from RNAcentral.